This 292-nucleotide ribosomal RNA is filed under the name uncultured bacterium. RNAcentral describes it as "partial 16S ribosomal RNA". It matches the Rfam family "Bacterial small subunit ribosomal RNA", at positions 505 to 796 of the family's 1533-position model. The record is from RNAcentral.
GUGACAGCAGCCGCGGUAAUACGUAGGCAGCAAGCGUUGUUCGGAAUUACUGGGCGUAAAGCGAGUGUAGGCGGUCUGCCAAGUCCUCUGUGAAAUCUCCCGGCUCAACUGGGAGGGUGCGGCGGAAACUGGCAGGCUUGAGUGCGGGAGAGGAGAGUGGAAUUCCUGGUGUAGCGGUGAAAUGCGUAGAUAUCAGGAGGAACACCGGUGGUGAAGACGGCUCUCUGGACCGCCACUGACGCUGAGACUCGAAAGCGUGGGGAGCAAACAGGAUUAGAAACCCGUGUAGUCC